This 931-nucleotide ribosomal RNA is filed under the name uncultured Methanosarcinaceae archaeon. Its description in RNAcentral is "bacterial SSU rRNA". It matches the Rfam family "Archaeal small subunit ribosomal RNA", at positions 1 to 925 of the family's 1478-position model. The record is from RNAcentral. Lineage: Archaea; Methanobacteriati; Methanobacteriota; Methanomicrobia; Methanosarcinales; Methanosarcinaceae.
CAGGUCGACGAUUUUCCGGUUGAUCCUGCCGGCGGCCACCGCUAUUGGAAUACGAUUAAGACAUGCGAGUCGAGAGACAUUAUGGUCUCGGCGGACCGCUCAGUAACACGUGGAUAACAUGCCCUAAGGUGGGGGAUAAUCUCGGGAAACUGAGGAUAAUACCCCAUAGGUCUUCUAUGCUGGAAUGCUCGAAGGCCGAAAACUCCGGUGCCUUAGGAUUGGUCUGCGGCCUAUCAGGCUGUAGUGGGUGUAAUGGACCCACUAGCCCGUGACGGGUAUGGGCCUUGAGAGAGGGAGCCCAGAGAUGGACUCUGAGACAUGAGUCCAGGCCCUACGGGGCGCAGCAGUCGCGAAAACUUCGCAAUGGGGGCAACCCCGACGAGGGAAUUCCAAGUGCCAGCACUUUGUGUUGGCUGUUCUCCUGUCUAAAAAACAGGAGGAGUAAGGGGCGGGUAAGACGGGUGCCAGCCGCCGCGGUAAUACCCGCGCCCCUAGUGGUGGUCGAUAUUAUUGAGCCUAAAACGUCCGUAGCCGGUCUUUUAAAUCCUUGGGUAAAUCGGGCAGCUUAACUGUCCGAAUUCCGAGGAGACUGGAAGACUUGGGACCGGGAGAGGUCAGAGGUACUUCUGGGGUAGGGGUAAAAUCCUGUAAUCCUGGAAGGACCACCGGUGGCGAAGGCGUCUGACUAGAACGGAUCCGACGGUGAGGGACGAAGCCCUGGGGCGCAAACGGGAUUAGAUACCCCGGUAGUCCAGGGUGUAAACGCUGCGGGCUUGGUGUUGGGGGUCCUUUGUGGGCGCCCAGUGCCGGAGAGAAGUUGUUAAGCCUGCUGCUUGGGGAGUAUGUCCGCAAGGAUGAAACUUAAAGGAAUUGGCGGGGGAGCACCGCAACGGGAGGAGCGUGCGGUUCAAUUGGAUUCAACGCCGGGAAU